CUACCCGCUGAACUUAAGCAUAUCAAUAAGCGGAGGAAAAG
RNAcentral lists this ribosomal RNA (41 nucleotides) under Metschnikowia caudata. Its description in RNAcentral is "partial 26S ribosomal RNA". The record is from RNAcentral. Lineage: Eukaryota; Fungi; Ascomycota; Pichiomycetes; Serinales; Metschnikowiaceae.